This 460-nucleotide ribosomal RNA is filed under the name uncultured bacterium. RNAcentral describes it as "partial 16S ribosomal RNA". It matches the Rfam family "Bacterial small subunit ribosomal RNA", at positions 338 to 795 of the family's 1533-position model. The record is from RNAcentral.
CCUACGGGAGGCAGCAGUGAGGAAUAUUGGUCAAUGGACGAGAGUCUGAACCAGCCAAGUAGCGUGAAGGAUGACUGCCCUAUGGGUUGUAAACUUCUUUUAUAUGGGGAUAAACUGAUCCACGCGUGUCUUUUUGUAUGUACCAUAUGAAUAAGGAUCGGCUAACUCCGUGCCAGCAGCCGCGGUAAUACGGAGGAUUCGAGCGUUAUCCGGAUUUAUUGGGUUUAAAGGGUGCGUAGGUGGAUGGUUAAGUCAGUGGUGAAAGUUUGAGGCUCAACAUUAAAAUUGCAGUUGAUACUGGUAGUCUUGAGUACAGUAGAGGUGGGCGGAAUUCGUGGUGUAGCGGUGAAAUGCUUAGAUAUCACGAAGAACACCGAUUGCGAAGGCAGCUUACUAGACUGCAACUGACACUGAGGCACGAAAGUGUGGGGAUCAAACAGGAUUAGAUACCCGGGUAGUC